ACAUCYGGUCURGGUUGGUUGACGGUUAUCAUCCACUGAAAUUAAGCCUAACUAAAUAUUAACACAAAUCGGUUUAAGAAAGUCGUGCUGUAAAGUGUUUUAAACUUUUAAAAGUGUUAAGAAUGCUGUGAAAAACUACUUCCGGGUUUUGAGGUUAGCUUUUUUGUACAUUUUGUGGUGAUGGUUUUGUGUUUGUUCUCUACAUUUGAGACAAAGUUCUGUGCCGACCUGAGAUGUGCAGUUUUAGAAUAUCGGAGAACAGGAUUUCUAGGAGAUGUAGGUAAGUGACUAUUUUAUAAGCACUAGCGGAUUUCGGGUGAAAUUUUUAAUGAGGCGUAAAAUGACUGGAAAAAUUACAAUUACAUUUUUUUAUAUCUU
Molecule: long non-coding RNA, 378 nt
Organism: Tribolium madens (black flour beetle)
Lineage: Eukaryota; Metazoa; Arthropoda; Insecta; Coleoptera; Tenebrionidae
Exons: 2
Source: RefSeq, a predicted model, not a curated record